GAGAGUUAAACAGUACGUGAAAUUGUUGAAAGGGAAACGAUUGAAGUCAGUCAUACCAACGGGAAAUCAACCUUUUGAGUUUGGUCUCGUGGGUUUUGAAGAGUUUAAAAGCCUUCGGAUUUUCGAGAUUGGGUUCUUCUGGUGUACUUUCUCGUACGGUUAGUCAACAUCGGUUUUGAAUGUCAUAAAAUGACUGGAGGAAUGUGGCUUCGAUCUCGUAUUGAAGUGUUAUAGCCUUUGGUAGAUGUGAUGUUCGAGACCGAGGAUUGCAACGGAUACCCUUCUGGGCUAUUCGUCUGAUCUCUGAAACGUUGCCUUGAUGUCGAAAGCUUGCUUAUGAUGUUAGGGUAUUACGAUCAAAAGGUUAGAACGGAUUAAAUUCGUUAAGGAUGUUGACGUAAUGACUUUAAACGA
This 414-nucleotide ribosomal RNA is filed under the name uncultured Funneliformis. Its description in RNAcentral is "partial 28S ribosomal RNA". The record is from RNAcentral. Lineage: Eukaryota; Fungi; Glomeromycota; Glomeromycetes; Glomerales; Glomeraceae.